AACGAACGCUGGCGGCAUGCCUAACACAUGCAAGUCGAACGAGACCUUCGGGUCUAGUGGCGCACGGGUGCGUAACGCGUGGGAACCUGCCCUUAGGUUCGGAAUAACUCCCCGAAAGGGGUGCUAAUACCGGAUAAUGUCUUCGGACCAAAGAUUUAUCGCCUUUGGAGGGGCCCGCGUUGGAUUAGCUAGUUGGUAGGGUAAAAGCCUACCAAGGCGACGAUCCAUAGCUGGUCUGAGAGGAUGAUCAGCCACACUGGGACUGAGACACGGCCCAGACUCCUACGGGAGGCAGCAGUGGGGAAUAUUGGACAAGGGGGGAAGGCCUGAUCCAGCAAUGCCGCGUGAGUGAUGAAGUCCUUAGGGUUGUAAAGCUCUUUUACCCGGGAUGAUAAUGACAGUACCGGGAGAAUAAGCUCCGGCUAACUCCGUG
Molecule: ribosomal RNA, 433 nt
Filed under: uncultured bacterium
Lineage: Bacteria
Description: partial 16S ribosomal RNA
Rfam family: Bacterial small subunit ribosomal RNA
Source: RNAcentral